UGGGGAAUAUUGCACAAUGGGCGCAAGCCUGAUGCAGCAACGCCGCGUGAGGGACGACGGCCUUCGGGUUGUAAACCUCUUUUAGUAGGGAAGAAGCGAAAGUGACGGUACCUGCAGAAAAAGCACCGGCUAACUACGUGCCAGCAGCCGCGGUAAUACGUAGGGUGCGAGCGUUGUCCGGAAUUAUUGGGCGUAAAGAGCUCGUAGGCGGUCUGUCGCGUCUGCUGUGAAAACCCGAGGCUCAACCUCGGGCCUGCAGUGGGUACGGGCAGACUAGAGUGCGGUAGGGGAGAAUGGAAUUCCUGGUGUAGCGGUGGAAUGCGCAGAUAUCAGGAGGAACACCGAUGGCGAAGGCAGUUCUCUGGGCCGUAACUGACGCUGAGGAGCGAAAGCGUGGGGAGCGAACAGGAUUAGAUACCCUGGUAGUCCACGCCGUAAACGUUGGGCGCUAGAUGUGGGGACCAUUCCACGGUUUCCGUGUCGCAGCUAACGCAUUAAGCGCCCCGCCUGGGGAGUACGGCCGCAAGACUGAAACUCAAAGGAAUUGACGGGGUCAUAGCUGUUU
This 565-nucleotide ribosomal RNA is filed under the name uncultured bacterium. RNAcentral describes it as "partial 16S ribosomal RNA". It matches the Rfam family "Bacterial small subunit ribosomal RNA", at positions 355 to 935 of the family's 1533-position model. The record is from RNAcentral.